UGUCAAGCGGGGAAAAGAAACCAACAGGGAUUGCCCCGUAACGGCGAGUGAAGCGGCAACAGCUCAAAUUUGAAACUGGCUGGCCCGAGGUUGUAAUUUGCAGAGGGAAGUUUCUGGCAAAGGUGCCUCCCGAGUCCACUUGGAACGUGGGCGCCCGAGAGGGUGAGAGCCCCGUAUCGUUGGACACGGGCGCAAGUGUGGUCAAAAACCCCUUCGACGAGUCACGAGUAGUUUGGGAAUUCUGCUCUAAAUGGGAGGUAAAUUCUUUCUAAAGCUAAAUACUGGCCCGAGACCGAUAGCGCACAAGUAUAGUGAUCGAAAGGAUGAAAAGCACCUUUUAAAAAGAGAGUCAAACAGCACGUGAAACUUGUUGAAAGGGAAGGAUUUGUAACCAGACUUGCGCCGGCCGGAUCUCCCGGUGUUUCGCUCCGGUGUUCUUAGAGGGUUCAGGCCAGGAUCGGUUUUCUGGGCAAAUUACAACUCGGGGGGAAAGGUACCUCCUCCGAGCUGUUAUAGCCCGCCCCGCCGGGAGCAUAAAGCCCGCGUUUUCGAUGCUGGCCCGUCAAACCGGACCAAAAAAGGGGGAG
This 587-nucleotide ribosomal RNA is filed under the name Telimena billiae. RNAcentral's name for it is "partial 28S ribosomal RNA". It matches the Rfam family "Eukaryotic large subunit ribosomal RNA", at positions 44 to 515 of the family's 3401-position model. Lineage: Eukaryota; Fungi; Ascomycota; Sordariomycetes; Phyllachorales; Telimenaceae. The record is from RNAcentral.